This is an RNA transcript of Nematostella vectensis (starlet sea anemone), 1488 nucleotides long. It is a transcript of the gene named RNA-binding protein 41, with no coding region annotated. NCBI's taxonomy places the organism in Eukaryota, Metazoa, Cnidaria, Anthozoa, Actiniaria, Edwardsiidae. The record is from RefSeq and is a predicted model, not a curated record. The transcript is spliced from 10 exons.
GCGCGCAAAGAAAUCCAAUAUGGCGGUCAAAACAUUGGAGAGUGGAACAUACGACAUGUUCUGAUUUUUUGCUGUUGUCAUUAAAACAAACGCUUCAAAUUGAUGAAAAUUUCACACAUUACAGUGAGUACUCCGAGAAAUCUGAGACCAGAACCGACAUCAUACGGACAGACUGGGAUACCAUGUGGUAACCCUCAGAGGUACAAGAGUAGGGGUGUGACCCGCAUGUGUCGACAUGACGCAGUACCCUAUGAAGACCAGCGGCUGGGAGAACCAGGCGAGGGGACAGAGACAGAGGCAGAGCAGCAGCUGAAACGUAUGCUUCAAAAUCAGCUGGACACAGACGUCACACUCGAAAGUCAAAAGAAGAAGCAAAAGACCUUCACAAGCUCUUCCACAUACAACAGCUGUAACCCUGAUGCUACUGGAACCCUCAGCCUAAGAGCUUACCAGUCCCUUGAGGAGAGGAGUGAAUAUGAGGAAAAGCUACGUCAGUAUGGACUCACAGAUGAUGAGAUCAAAUACAAGCUUGAACUUAAGGGCAUGGUACCCAAAGAAGCCAAGAGGUCAAAUUAUGGAGCUGAUCCAUUAGCAGAAAAGCAGCGUCUUGAAGAGCUCAAGAAAAAGAUUGAGGACAAGGAAAAGGCCCUGUCUGCACCAGACUCAUUUUCCAAUGUGCAUUUGCUGUCCCGGCAUGCAAUGGAGGUGGAGAUGUCCCUUAACCGAGGUACUGAAAGGGCCAAAGACUUUAAGCAUCUAGUUCAAGUCAGCAGUACAGUGGACUGCGAUAAUGACCCAGUAUUGCAAACAUUACUGAGCAAUACUCAUCUAUUGGGAGAUCGCACUAGUCUACCCAAAAUUCACCGCCCCCCGUCUAGUAAGAAGACAACGCUUACUGAGGAAGGCAACAACCCCGAAUGUGUCGAGUUGUCAUCCUCUUACAGCAAGACAUGUCUUGGUGAGGCUACCAAAAACACUUUUGUGUUACCGGAGAUCACUAGUAUCGAAGAGAGUGAGAUUUUGCACAACAGAUUGAGUAUAGACGAGAUUAAACAGAUUCCGAGGUUCAAGGACUACGCCCCUGGGGAACCCAGUAAGACGCUGUUUCUCAAGAACCUCAGUAACAAGGUGAAAGAGGAAGAUCUGAUCCGGCUUUUCCUCCGUUUCCAGCAGAAUGGUGCACCCAAACUGGUAUUCCGGCUGAUGAAGGGGCGCAUGAAAGGGCAAGCGUUCGUCACAUUCCCAGGUGAGGGUCUUUAGUCGCGCAUGCAACCACUAAGCUGCUUUUUGCCGAUGAACUGAGUGUCUUGCCGACAAGAUUCAGAAGUUGCAAUUAAGGCUCACUCGCUUGUAAACGGCUAUCGCCUCAAAGGAAGGCCCGUUAUAAUAGAAUUCGGGAGAAAACGCGAGAAAGCCCAACAACGAGACUCCGAGAUUCAUCUUAACUGAGGUGCAGUCGCCAGCAAGUGUUACAAGUGCAAAGACUAC